RNAcentral lists this ribosomal RNA (496 nucleotides) under uncultured bacterium. RNAcentral's name for it is "partial 16S ribosomal RNA". It matches the Rfam family "Bacterial small subunit ribosomal RNA", at positions 28 to 506 of the family's 1533-position model. The record is from RNAcentral.
GAUGAACGCUGGCGGCGUGCCUAAUACAUGCAAGUCGAGCGAACAGAUGAGGAGCUUGCUCCUCUGACGUUAGCGGCGGACGGGUGAGUAACACGUGGAUAACCUACCUAUAAGACUGGGAUAACUUCGGGAAACCGGAGCUAAUACCGGAUAAUAUAUUGAACCGCAUGGUUCAAUAGUGAAAGACGGUUUUGCUGUCACUUAUAGAUGGAUCCGCGCCGCAUUAGCUAGUUGGUAAGGUAACGGCUUACCAAGGCAACGAUGCGUAGCCGACCUGAGAGGGUGAUCGACCACACUGGAACUGAGACACGGUCCAGACUCCUACGGGAGGCAGCAGUAGGGAAUCUUCCGCAAUGGGCGAAAGCCUGACGGAGCAACGCCGCGUGAGUGAUGAAGGUCUUCGGAUCGUAAAACUCUGUUAUUAGGGAAGAACAAAUGUGUAAGUAACUAUGCACGUCUUGACGGUACCUAAUCAGAAAGCCACGGCUAACUACGU